Molecule: ribosomal RNA, 828 nt
Filed under: Triticum aestivum (bread wheat)
Lineage: Eukaryota; Viridiplantae; Streptophyta; Magnoliopsida; Poales; Poaceae
Description: partial small subunit ribosomal RNA
Source: RNAcentral
AUGCGGCGCUCCAGAACCUCUCCGUCUAGCAGCAGCAUGCCGGCGGCGCGCCGGACUGGUUCCUCAACACGGGCGCUACGUCGCACGUCGAAGGACCUAGCAACGGGGAAAAUAAUCAUGAGGUCCAAUAGCCAUGGCGACCUCUACCCCUUCUUCAGCAACUCCGGCGUGCAAGCGGCGCUCUCCGUCGUCUCCAAUGGCCUAUGGCAUCUUCGUUUGGGCCACGCUAGCAAUAAAGCAGUUUCUAUUAUAGCUCGUGAUUUCCUUCCAAACUGUAAUAAUGACAUGCCUAGCACCACUGUUUGUUCCUCAUGUAAACUAGGCAAGCAGCCACGGCUGCCUUUUCCCCAUUCUACUACCAAAACAAGUGCACCUUUCCAAUUAAUCCAUUGUGACUUGUGGACUUCGCCCGUCUCUAGUUUCUCGGGUUUUAUGUACUAUCUCGUGAUACUUGACGAUUACUCUCAUUACUCGUGGACAUUCCCGUUGCGCAACAAGUCCGACACCGCCGACACCAUCACUCGUUUCUUCAUGUACAUACUCACACAGUUUCACGUGACUAUCCAAUGCAUGCAAUGCGAUAACGGCGGAGAAUUCCUCACUUCCUCCUUGCGCGACCUCUUCUCUCGCCACGGCUCCUCUUUCCGUCUCUCGUGCCCACACACCUCUCCCCAAAAUGGGAAAGCCGAGCACCUCAUCCGCACCACCAACGACGUUCUUCGUGUUCUACUAAUCCAUGCACACCUCCCACCGCCAUUUUGGGUCGAAGCUCUCCACACCGCUACCUACAUUCUAAACCGGCGACCCUCCUCGGCCAUUAAUUUGUGA